CCAAAUCCUACACACUGUACCUUUAAGUGACAUUUUCAAUGCAAGACUUCAACAUCUCUCAGUCUGUCAGAAGUGGCGGUUUGGUGUCAGUUAGUCGUCUGUCUUUGUGAGCAGACAAAGCACCGCAGCAGGAGAGACGUAAUGACACGUGCAAGACAGCUGAGAAUGAGACUUUCAACACAGAUUGGAACCCAUGGGGGGACAGAGAGGAACAAUAAAUGCCCCUGCAGACUCCAGCUUGGAGCUCCCAGCUGUCCAACAUCACCCUCUCUACUUCCAGUUUCAACCAAUCAACA
This is a long non-coding RNA of Sebastes umbrosus (honeycomb rockfish), 296 nucleotides long. RefSeq lists it as uncharacterized. The transcript has 3 exons. The record is from RefSeq and is a predicted model, not a curated record. Lineage: Eukaryota; Metazoa; Chordata; Actinopteri; Perciformes; Sebastidae.